GAAUGUUAUCACGGGAGACACACGGCGGGUGCUAACGUCCGUCGUGAAGAGGGAAACAACCCAGACCGCCAGCUAAGGUCCCAAAGUCAUGGUUAAGUGGGAAACGAUGUGGGAAGGCCCAGACAGCCAGGAUGUUGGCUUAGAAGCAGCCAUCAUUUAAAGAAAGCGUAAUAGCUCACUGGUCGAGUCGGCCUGCGCGGAAGAUGUAACGGGGCUAAACCAUGCACCGAAGCUGCGGCAGCGAACGUAUCACUUAAAGCGAUUCAGCGGGUUACGAUUGACGGAGCGAAGCGACGUCAAAGCGUAUACAAAGUCGAGUCGGUUUAAGGAUACGUUCGUUGGGUAGGGGAGCGUUCUGUAAGCCCGUGAAGGUGGCCUGUGAGGGUUGCUGGAGGUAUCAGAAGUGCGAAUGCUGACAUAAGUAACGAUAAAGCGGGUGAAAAGCCCGCUCGCCGGAAGACCAAGGGUUCCUGUCCAACGUUAAUCGGGGCAGGGUGAGUCGACCCCUAAGGCGAGGCCGAAAGGCGUAGUCGAUGGGAAACGGGUUAAUAUUCCCGUACUUGGUGUUACUGCGAAGGGGGGACGGAGAAGGCUAUGUUGGCCGGGCGACGGUUGUCCCGGUUUAAGCGUGUAGGUGUGUGUUCCAGGUAAAUCCGGUUCACUUUAACACUGAGGCGUGAUGACGAGGCACUACGGUGCUGAAGCAACAAAUGCCCUGCUUCCAGGAAAAGCCUCUAAGCAUCAGGUAACAUCAAAUCGUACCCCAAACCGACACAGGUGGUCAGGUAGAGAAUACCAAGGCGCUUGAGAGAACUCGGGUGAAGGAACUAGGCAAAAUGGUGCCGUAACUUCGGGAGAAGGCACGCUGACACGUAGGUGAAGUGAUUUACUCACGGAGCUGAAGUCAGUCGAAGAUACCAGCUGGCUGCAACUGUUUAUUAAAAACACAGCACUGUGCAAACACGAAAGUGGACGUAUACGGUGUGACGCCUGCCCGGUGCCGGAAGGUUAAUUGAUGGGGUCAGCGCAAGCGAAGCUCCUGAUCGAAGCCCCGGUAAACGGCGGCCGUAACUAUAACGGUCCUAAGGUAGCGAAAUUCCUUGUCGGGUAAGUUCCGACCUGCACGAAUGGCGUAAUGAUGGCCAGGCUGUCUCCACCCGAGACUCAGUGAAAUUGAACUCGCUGUGAAGAUGCAGUGUACCCGCGGCAAGACGGAAAGACCCCGUGAACCUUUACUAUAGCUUGACACUGAACAUUGAGCCUUGAUGUGUAGGAU
Molecule: ribosomal RNA, 1276 nt
Filed under: Salmonella enterica subsp. enterica serovar Typhimurium
Lineage: Bacteria; Pseudomonadati; Pseudomonadota; Gammaproteobacteria; Enterobacterales; Enterobacteriaceae
Description: bacterial LSU rRNA
Rfam family: Bacterial large subunit ribosomal RNA
Source: RNAcentral